GGUGCUGGAAGGUUAAGAGGAGCGCUUAGCGUAAGCGAAGGUGCGAAUUGAAGCCCCAGUAAACGGCGGCCGUAACUAUAACGGUCCUAAGGUAGCGAAAUUCCUUGUCGGGUAAGUUCCGACCCGCACGAAAGGCGCAACGAUCUGGGCACUGUCUCAACGAGAGCCUCGGUGAAAUUAUAGUACCUGUGAAGAUGCAGGUUACCCGCGACAGGACGGAAAGACCCCGUGGAGCUUUACUGCAGCCUGAUAUUGAAUGUUGGUACAGCUUGUACAGGAUAGGUAGGAGCCUUGGAAACCGGAGCGCCAGCUUCGGUGGAGGCAUCGGUGGGAUACUACCCUGGCUGUAUU
RNAcentral lists this ribosomal RNA (351 nucleotides) under Bacillus velezensis. RNAcentral describes it as "bacterial LSU rRNA". It matches the Rfam family "Bacterial large subunit ribosomal RNA", at positions 1865 to 2215 of the family's 2925-position model. Lineage: Bacteria; Bacillati; Bacillota; Bacilli; Caryophanales; Bacillaceae. The record is from RNAcentral.